GACGAACGCUGGCGGCGUGCUUAACACAUGCAAGUCGAACGGAAAGGCCCUGCUUUUGUGGGGUGCUCGAGUGGCGAACGGGUGAGUAACACGUGAGUAACCUGCCCUUGACUUUGGGAUAACUUCAGGAAACUCGGGCUAAUACCGGAUAGGAGCUCCUGCUGCAUGGUGGGGGUUGGAAAGUUUCGGCGGUUGGGGAUGGACUCGCGGCUUAUCAGCUUGUUGGUGGGGUAGGGGCUUACCAAGGCUUUGACGGGUAGCCGGCCUGAGAGGGUGACCGGGCACAUUGGGACUGAGAUACGGCCCAGAAUCCUACGGGAGGCAGCAGUGGGGAAUAUUGCACAAUGGGCGGAAGCCUGAUGCAGCAACGCCGCGUGCGGGAUGACGGCCUUCGGGUUGUAAACCGCUUUCGCCUGUGACGAAGCGUGAGUGACGGUAAUGGGUAAAGAAGCACCGGCUAACUACGUG
RNAcentral lists this ribosomal RNA (468 nucleotides) under uncultured bacterium. Its description in RNAcentral is "partial 16S ribosomal RNA". It matches the Rfam family "Bacterial small subunit ribosomal RNA", at positions 28 to 507 of the family's 1533-position model. The record is from RNAcentral.